CCUCUGAAUCUUCUUCUGAGUCUUCCUCUAAAGUACCAUAUUUUUCCUCUGCGCUUUCCCCGGGGCUGCCAUAUUCGUCUUCUGAGUCUUCCUCUAGAGUUCCAUAUUCGUCCUCUUGGGUCCUAUAUUUGCUCUCUGGGCUCCCAUAUUCCUCUUCUAAGUCUUUCUCUAAAGUCCUAUAUUCGUUCUCUGGGUUCCCAUAUUUGUUUUCUGGGCUCCCAUAUUCGUCUUCUAGGGUUUCAUAUUCGUAUUCGUCUUCUAGGAUUCCAUAUUUAGAUUCUUCUAGGGUUUCAUAUUCAUAUUCAUCCUCUCGGGUCCUGUACUCGUCUUCUAGGCUCUCAUAUUCCUCUUCUGAGUCUUCCGCUCGAGUCCUAUAUUCUUCUUCUAGGGUCCUAUAUCUAAAUUUAACAAUUCCUGAACCCUUUUUAUCUUUUCUGUAUCGGGGAUCGUCAAAAUAAGCAAAAAUAGUAUUUCUACGUAAAACACCAAUAAG
RNAcentral lists this long non-coding RNA (493 nucleotides) under Triticum aestivum (bread wheat). RNAcentral describes it as "long non-coding RNA (TAES_LNC014093)". The record is from RNAcentral. Lineage: Eukaryota; Viridiplantae; Streptophyta; Magnoliopsida; Poales; Poaceae.